This 214-nucleotide ribosomal RNA is filed under the name uncultured bacterium. Its description in RNAcentral is "partial 16S ribosomal RNA". It matches the Rfam family "Bacterial small subunit ribosomal RNA", at positions 1287 to 1500 of the family's 1533-position model. The record is from RNAcentral.
CCCAGUUCGGAUCGCAGGCUGCAACCCGCCUGCGUGAAGUUGGAAUCGCUAGUAAUCGCGGAUCAGCAUGCCGCGGUGAAUACGUUCCCGGGCCUUGUACACACCGCCCGUCACACCAUGAGAGUCGGGAACACCCGAAGUCCGUAGCCUGACCGCGAAGGGGGCGCGGCCGAAGGUGGGUUCGAUAAUUGGGGUGAAGUCGUAACAAGGUAAC